This 718-nucleotide long non-coding RNA is filed under the name Danio rerio (zebrafish). RNAcentral describes it as "lncRNA (ENSDARG00000117476.1)". Lineage: Eukaryota; Metazoa; Chordata; Actinopteri; Cypriniformes; Danionidae. The record is from RNAcentral.
UGGAAUUGUGCUUUCGGGUUGAGUAAACAAUAGCAGAAUUUACAUAGGCAGAAAUAAGUUUUAAAAGUAUCUCCCGGCAUCAGCCAUUAUUAUUGUGUGGUCAGUAACUCAGCUCUCAGCGGCUCUGGCCAACUGUCCUGCCCAUUAAUGUAUGAUUUACAGCGAUUAACUUUUGCUGAUUAGAGUGAUUAUUUGGAGUGUGGCGCGGCUCUGCCUUCCUCCAGUGUGUCGGACCAUCCUGCCAGCGGCUUUAAACUUCCACCGGGGAUCCAGCCGAACCUCUGCCAGAGCGGCUAAUCUGUAAUCAUUCAUGGCUGACUUAUACAAACCGCUCUGUUUUCUGGCACUCGCCGGCCGGUUCUUCUUCAUCUCCCCGCAGUAAACAAACGGCGCGUGGAAAGGUUAGUCACUGGCGCGAGCAGACGGAUCUCCGAAGGAAACGGGGUGUUAAGCAUGUCGGAGCCGUUCAAGUCCAAAAAGGUAGGCACAUGAAGAAGAUGCCAACAGGAUACAGAAAGGUUGACAAACAUAGAUGCCAGCAGGCUAUAUAAUGCACCAGCUGCAGAUGCCGGAAAAAAAGCAACCGAUGCAAAGUGGAGUCUGUCAAGCCAAUGAGGACGGAAGAUGAAGACAGGCCUGCCGAAAAUAAGGGUAGGCAUUUUAGCGGGUGGUUUUAAAAGCCGACGUGUUUCCCUUCAAGGUAAAACUAGCCUCGGCA